AUAUCCGGCUAAAUCCCGAAGAUAAUUGGGUUUGGGAAUGAGCGAUCUUGCUGUAAUAAUUUCAAUUAAUACGCUCGUAAAAUCCCAACGAUGAGAUUUUGGUUCGUCAGCUAUCGGACUCGGGAUUGUUGACGUCGAAGUCGUCCACACUAUCAAAGCCCCUUUUGGUACACUUUUGGUUGAACUUUGAAAUGGCAUGUAUAGGACACCCCUUUUUGUUGUUGGUCAUGUACCCUUUGGUUUUGUAUAAAUUUGGAUAGCCAUGCGAAAAUGACUUAUAUACACUUUGAGCAUAGUAUUAUAAUCGUUUUGUAUGUUAUUCAUUAAGAGGUAUGGAAAUGUUUGGAAACAA
Long non-coding RNA from Gossypium arboreum, 352 nucleotides. RefSeq lists it as uncharacterized. The transcript has 2 exons. NCBI's taxonomy places the organism in Eukaryota, Viridiplantae, Streptophyta, Magnoliopsida, Malvales, Malvaceae. The record is from RefSeq and is a predicted model, not a curated record.